This 68-nucleotide transfer RNA is filed under the name Varanus komodoensis (Komodo dragon). RNAcentral describes it as "tRNA-Glu". The record is from RNAcentral. Lineage: Eukaryota; Metazoa; Chordata; Lepidosauria; Squamata; Varanidae.
GUUCUUGUAGUUGAAGUACAACGUGGAUUUUUCGUGUCCUUGGUUUUGGGUAAAUCCAAAUGAGAAUA